RNAcentral lists this ribosomal RNA (253 nucleotides) under uncultured bacterium. Its description in RNAcentral is "partial 16S ribosomal RNA". It matches the Rfam family "Bacterial small subunit ribosomal RNA", at positions 524 to 776 of the family's 1533-position model. The record is from RNAcentral.
UACGUAGGGGGCAAGCGUUGUCCGGAUUCAUUGGGCGUAAAGAGCGUGUAGGCGGCCAGGUAGGUCGGUUGUGAAAACUGGAGGCUCAACCUUCAGAGGUCGACCGAAACCAUCUGGCUAGAGUACGGAAGAGGCGAGUGGAAUUCCUGGUGUAGCGGUGGAAUGCGCAGAUAUCAGGAGGAACACCAAUAGCGAAGGCAGCUCGCUGGGACGUUACUGACACUGAGGCGCGAAAGCGUGGGGAGCGAACAGG